UUGCCUACGGGAGGCAGCAGUAGGGAAUCUUCCACAAUGGGCGAAAGCCUGAUGGAGCAACGCCGCGUGGGUGAAGAAGGUCUUCGGAUCGUAAAACCCUGUUGUUAGAGAAGAAAGUGCGUGAGAGUAACUGUUCACGUUUCGACGGUAUCUAACCAGAAAGCCACGGCUAACUACGUGCCAGCAGCCGCGGUAAUACGUAGGUGGCGAGCGUUAUCCGGAAUGAUUGGGCGUAAAGGGUGCGUAGGCGGCCUGCUAAGUCUGGAGUGAAAGGUACCGGCUCAACCGGUACAGGCUCUGGAAAC
This 305-nucleotide ribosomal RNA is filed under the name uncultured bacterium. Its description in RNAcentral is "bacterial SSU rRNA". It matches the Rfam family "Bacterial small subunit ribosomal RNA", at positions 335 to 633 of the family's 1533-position model. The record is from RNAcentral.